RNAcentral lists this ribosomal RNA (256 nucleotides) under uncultured archaeon. Its description in RNAcentral is "partial 16S ribosomal RNA". It matches the Rfam family "Bacterial small subunit ribosomal RNA", at positions 521 to 776 of the family's 1533-position model. The record is from RNAcentral.
UAAUACGGAGGGUGCGAGCGUUGUCCGGAAUCACUGGGCGUAAAGGGCGCGUAGGUGGCGGGCCAAGUCAACGGUGAAAGCUCGGGGCUCAACUCCGAGUCGGCCGUCGAUACUGGUUCGCUGGAGCACUGUAGAGGCAGGUGGAAUUCCGGGUGUAGCGGUGGAAUGCGUAGAGAUCCGGAAGAACACCGGUGGCGAAGGCGGCCUGCUGGGCAGUUGCUGACACUGAGGCGCGACAGCGUGGGGAGCAAACAGG